Non-coding RNA from Pan troglodytes (chimpanzee), 302 nucleotides. NCBI's taxonomy places the organism in Eukaryota, Metazoa, Chordata, Mammalia, Primates, Hominidae. The record is from Rfam.
GGCUGUGGGAGCAAUCUGUGUGGUACAUCUGUGGCCCCACUGGCUGCCAGGUGUCUGGAGACCUGUGCUCCAUCUCUCCCCUCAUGCCAUGUGCCUCCCUCCUGAGGCUGUGGGCUGCAUCCAAGAGAAUGACCUUCCUCGACAGAGGAGGGCAGCUCUCCAGGAAAAGAAAUGGGAGGAACUUCCUUCUUCUGCUGGAACCCCCAACUACAGGUUUAAAAUGCUGUGUGUAUGUGUGUGUGCACAUGUGUGUGUGUGUACAUCUUUAGUUAGUGAGACCACUGUAGGUGGUUUCAGGUGGU